This 2077-nucleotide long non-coding RNA is filed under the name Phoenix dactylifera (date palm). RNAcentral's name for it is "long non-coding RNA (PDAC_LNC008177)". The record is from RNAcentral. Lineage: Eukaryota; Viridiplantae; Streptophyta; Magnoliopsida; Arecales; Arecaceae.
CACAAUAUAUACAUUAUUAUGUUUACUUAAAAAAAAAAAUUUUGUAUAUUGACCUUAAGAAAGACAAUAGUGUGAAAGCCGUCAUUGCAAAAAUUCGAGUAAACUGGAAUAUUACAGAUAAAGCCCAUGAGAUAUUAAAGUAAACAUCCAUAGCUCUCGAAAUCCUGCAGAUAAGAUGAUUUUGAAUCAGCAAAUAGGUCUUGUCCGACCAACUCUUGGAAACUACUAGCAUUAGCGAUAUUUUGGAGAUCCAAAAUCUUAGCUUGUGCAUGGUCCAGACUUCACUGAGCACUCAAGUAUAAAUAAGUCUUACAACUUCCUAACGAAAAACUUAAUGACUUCAACUUAAAUUGCACACUAACCUAGAAUUUGGGCUACUUAGUAUUUAAAACCUUGUGUGCUUUUGAAAUUCUUAUCAGUUAUGUACUUGAAAUUAGACUUUCAUUUCAUAAAACAAAUUUUAUUUUGGGAUUGAAGUUUGUGGGUAACUUUACUGCAAACCCUCACAAGACAACACUCGUCAACUAGGGUAACCUAGGGGUUUAACAGCUUGUUGCACAUGCUAAGUAUAAUCGUUAUGCUCUACGAAAGUGAGUAUUUAUCUUAGUUCAUGUAUAUAUAUAUAAUAAUAAUUAUUACUUUUGCACUCUCAUUUCCGCACUAAAUUGCUAGAGACUAGCAAUAAGCUGGUUGGGGGGUGUGAUGAGAGCACAAAAGUGCAAUCAUCAUAUCAUCUUAAUUAGUAUUUUAGCUAAUCAUUAAUGAUAAAAUUUACUAAUUAAUGUUGUAUUUGUGUUGAGUGCAAGUAAUCCAAGAGAUCCAAUAACAUUGGGUUUGAGCCCAACGCAGCCGGCACGUCCGAGAUCUCCCAGCGUAUCACGCCCGCGUGCCAGCCCAUCUGCAUCCCAGCAGCCUACGUUCUUCACGCAGUGGAAGUCCCAGCUGCCGUUCCGAGCAAAUGCAGCAUCCAGAUCUCCAUUCAAUCUAGCACCCAAAGAAGGAAACCAUCUCCUCUUUUUUCAGCCAUAGCAGCGGUUAGCAGGGGAUUUUUAGCAUCCCAGCACUCCAUCCAUCCGUGGGCCAAAGAAGAAAGUCCAUCUCCCACUCCAGGCCGUCUGCGUCUUCCGUCCGUUCCCACCGCGCCUCACAGCCGGUCUAGGCCGUCCGCGUCUUCCGUCCGUUCCCACCGCGCCUCAAAGCAUCGCGUCCGAGCUGCAUCCAAAGCUCCUCCGUCUCAGCCCGGAUGACCGCCUCUCCUGUGAUCGGGUCCAGCUGCGUCUGAGCUUUCCGGAUCUCUUCCAUGCCCCAGCAAUUGGGUCCCCUAAGCAUCUUCUGUGAUCAACGCCCACAGCAUCCCGUGGCAUCUUCCAUCUUCAGCAUCCCAUCUUCUGUCCGUACUCAUCUUCCACCUCAUCACCGACAUCUUCCCAAGUUCAUGAUCCCAGCAUCCAGUCUUCCGUAAUCCAGCCUCCCACGCCCGUCCGACUGCAAGCGUGAUCCAAGCAUCGCGUCCAGCCGCUCGUGAUUCUCCCUCAAAUCCCAGCUUCCUUCCCGAAUCAGCGUCCGUGAUCAAUCUCCUCCAUGAUCCGCCCAGCCACGGCAUCCCACGCUGCAAUCAAGCUCCUCCAUCUCAGCCUCCCAUCCCGCGGCCAGCUUCCGGAGACCCAAUCCCAUUGAUCAAGUGUCCGUUUUCCUCUCCUCUCCACGUGCUUGCUGGGGAUGUAUAUAAGGGUGGAGGUCGGCUGGUUCAAGGAGGAACAGAGGGGGGAGGUCGGCAGGUUCAAGAAGGAACAGGGGAGGAGCUCUAUUUUUCGGAGAAGAAGAAAGAGAAAAUCAUAUAUUUUAUUCUUUCUUUUAAUGUUCCACCGUGCAGGAUUACUUUUUCCUUGUUUUUGUUUUUUUAUUUUAUGUUCUUGUAAUCAAUUUUCUUUUUAUGAAAUCCAUCAAUUUUUUCUUAUGAAAUCCGUUUUCUAGGUUCAGUUUAAUGUUUGUAAUUUAUUUUAUGUAUUCUGAAAUUCUUAGUUUUAAGAUAACUCUGAAAUUAAUUUUUGCUGUUCAACUGGCGAUUUUAAUUCAU